RNAcentral lists this long non-coding RNA (223 nucleotides) under Mytilus galloprovincialis (Mediterranean mussel). The record is from RNAcentral. Lineage: Eukaryota; Metazoa; Mollusca; Bivalvia; Mytilida; Mytilidae.
GGCAUACGAUACAGUUACAGGGAAGGUAAUGACGUUGCUAACGUAAAAUGUUAUUUUCGCGACGUCAAACUGUGACAUAUCGGGAAAAGAUGCAUUUUCCGACUGAUUUUUAUCAUUCAAACUGAUUUAUUUGAAAAACGAGUUCAUGGACCCCUAUUUUUUAAAACAGCAAUUUGUUUCAUUUUGCAAGGAGAUUAUGUGACCCAAAUUUUAUAAAACUGUA